ACGGAGGGUGCAAGCGUUAAUCGGAAUUACUGGGCGUAAAGCGCACGCAGGCUGUUUGUUAAGUCAGAUGUGAAAUCCCACGGCUCAACCGUGGAACUGCCUUUGAUACUGCACAACUUGAAUCCCGGAGAGGGGGGCGGAAUUCCAGGUGUAGGGGUGAAAUGCGUAGAUAUCUGGAGGAAUACCAGUGGCGAAGGCGGCCACCUGGACGAGUACUGACGCUGAGGUGCGAAAGCGUGGGGAGCAAACAG
Molecule: ribosomal RNA, 251 nt
Filed under: uncultured prokaryote
Description: partial 16S rRNA
Rfam family: Bacterial small subunit ribosomal RNA
Source: RNAcentral